RNAcentral lists this ribosomal RNA (253 nucleotides) under uncultured bacterium. RNAcentral's name for it is "partial 16S ribosomal RNA". It matches the Rfam family "Bacterial small subunit ribosomal RNA", at positions 524 to 776 of the family's 1533-position model. The record is from RNAcentral.
UACGGAGGGUGCAAGCGUUGUCCGGAUUUAUUGGGUUUAAAGGGUGCGUAGGCGGCCUCUUAAGUCAGUGGUGAAAGCCCGCGGCUCAACCGCGGAACUGCCAUUGAUACUGGGAGGCUUGAGUACAGACGAGGUAGGCGGAAUUGAAGAUGUAGCGGUGAAAUGCUUAGAUAUCUUCAAGAACACCGAUUGCGUAGGCAGCUCGCUGUGCCGAAACUGACGCUGAGGCACGAAAGCGUGGGGAGCGAACAGG